This is a long non-coding RNA of Thalassophryne amazonica, 104 nucleotides long. RefSeq lists it as uncharacterized. The transcript is spliced from 3 exons. The record is from RefSeq and is a predicted model, not a curated record. Lineage: Eukaryota; Metazoa; Chordata; Actinopteri; Batrachoidiformes; Batrachoididae.
ACUCCACCUUUUUUGAAUCUUAAUGAUCAGACAAAUAAUGAUGAUAUACAUUUCAAUAUGAUUGGAGAAUGUUUGAAUUUUGGCCCCUGCGUAACCCUUCAUUG